Molecule: ribosomal RNA, 301 nt
Filed under: uncultured bacterium
Lineage: Bacteria
Description: partial 16S ribosomal RNA
Rfam family: Bacterial small subunit ribosomal RNA
Source: RNAcentral
CAGCAGCCGCGGUAAUACGUAGGUCCCGAGCGUUGUCCGGAUUUAUUGGGCGUAAAGCGAGCGCAGGCGGUUAGAUAAGUCUGAAGUUAAAGGCUGUGGCUUAACCAUAGUACGCUUUGGAAACUGUUUAACUUGAGUGCAAGAGGGGAGAGUGGAAUUCCACGUGUAGCGGUGAAAUGCGUAGAUAUAUGGAGGAACACCGGUGGCGAAAGCGGCUCUCUGGUCUGUAACUGACGCUGAGGCUCGAAAGCGUGGGGAGCGAACAGGAUUAGAUACCCGAGUAGUCCCUGUCUCUUAUACC